Thermothielavioides terrestris NRRL 8126 is the source of this 104-nucleotide non-coding RNA. NCBI's taxonomy places the organism in Eukaryota, Fungi, Ascomycota, Sordariomycetes, Sordariales, Chaetomiaceae. The record is from the annotation of a RefSeq genome assembly.
GGCUCAAUGGUCUAGUGGUAUGAUUCGCGCUUCGGGUGGUCACCCACACCUGGGUAACAGGUGGAAGAUGUGCGAGGUCUCGGGUUCGAUCCCCGAUUGAGCCC